This 46-nucleotide non-coding RNA is filed under the name Schistosoma mattheei. Lineage: Eukaryota; Metazoa; Platyhelminthes; Trematoda; Strigeidida; Schistosomatidae. The record is from RNAcentral.
ACCCAACCGACGAGUCCUAAAAUAGGACGAAACGCGAAUCCUGGAU